GACGAACGCUGGCGGCGUGCUUAACACAUGCAAGUCGAACGAGAAAGGCUCUUCGGAGCUGAGUACAGUGGCGAACGGGUGAGUAACACGUGGGCAACCUGCCCUAUGGAGCGGGACAACCCGGGGAAACUCGGGCUAAUACCGCAUGAUUCGUACAGUCUCAAGUCUGUACGGGAAAUGGUAGCUUCGGCCUCCGCCAUGGGAUGGGCCCGCGGCGCAUUAGCUUGUUGGUGGGUAAUGGCUCACCAAGGCGACGAUGCGUAGCUGGUCUGAGAGGACGAUCAGCCACACUGGGACUGAGACACGGCCCAGACACCUACGGGAGGCAG
This 329-nucleotide ribosomal RNA is filed under the name uncultured Actinomycetes bacterium. RNAcentral describes it as "bacterial SSU rRNA". It matches the Rfam family "Bacterial small subunit ribosomal RNA", at positions 28 to 351 of the family's 1533-position model. Lineage: Bacteria; Bacillati; Actinomycetota; Actinomycetes. The record is from RNAcentral.